Molecule: ribosomal RNA, 1495 nt
Filed under: uncultured Actinomycetes bacterium
Lineage: Bacteria; Bacillati; Actinomycetota; Actinomycetes
Description: bacterial SSU rRNA
Rfam family: Bacterial small subunit ribosomal RNA
Source: RNAcentral
GACGAACGCUGGCGGCGGGCUUAACACAUGCAAGUCGAACGAGGUCCAUUCUGUAGCAAUACAGAGGAAGACCUAGUGGCGAACGGGUGAGGAACACGUGAGGAACCUGCCCCGAACUUUGGGAUAACAGUUGGAAACGACUGCUAAUACCGAAUGCCGUUACGAAGUGGCAUCACUUUGUAACGAAAGAAUUUCGGUUCGGGAGGGCCUCGCGGCCUAUCAGCUAGUUGGUGGGGUAACGGCCUACCAAGGCAUCGACGGGUAGCUGGUCUGAGAGGAUGAUCAGCCACACUGGGACUGAGACACGGCCCAGACUCCUACGGGAGGCAGCAGUGGGGAAUCUUGUGCAAUGGGCGAAAGCCUGACACAGCCACGCCGCGUGCGGGAAGAAGGCCUUCGGGUUGUAAACCGCUUUCAGCAGGAACGAAAAUGACGGUACCUGCAGAAGAAGGUGCGGCCAACUACGUGCCAGCAGCCGCGGUGAUACGUAGGCAUCAAGCGUUGUCCGGAUUUAUUGGGCGUAAAGAGCUCGUAGGCGGUUCAGCAAGUCGGGUGUGAAACCUCUGGGCUUAACCCAGAGCCUGCACUCGAAACUGCUGUGACUAGAGUUCGGGUAGGGGAGCAGGGAAUUCCUAGUGUAGCGGUGAAAUGCGCAGAUAUUAGGAGGAACACCAAUGGCGAAGGCACUGCUCUGGGCCGAUACUGACGCUGAGGAGCGAGAGCGUGGGUAGCAAACAGGAUUAGAUACCCUGGUUGUCCACGCCGUAAACGAUGGGCACUAGGUGUGGGUCUCUAACCAACGAGAUCUGCGCCGUCGCUAACGCAUUAAGUGCCCCGCCUGGGGAGUACGGUCGCAAGACUAAAACUCAAAGGAAUUGACGGGGGCCCGCACAAGCAGCGGAGCGUGUUGCUUAAUUCGAUGCUACGCGAAGGACCUUACCAAGGCUUGACAUAUAGGGAAAAGUGGCAGAGAUGUCAUGUCCGCAAGGGCUCUAUACAGGUGGUGCAUGGUUGUCGUCAGCUCGUGUCGUGAGAUGUUGGGUUAAGUCCCGCAACGAGCGCAACCCUCGUUCUGUGUUGCCAGCAUUUAGUUGGGGACUCACAGGAGACUGCCGGGGUUAACUCGGAGGAAGGUGGGGAUGACGUCAAAUCAUCAUGCCCCUUAUGUCUUGGGCUGCACGCAUGCUACAAUGGCCGGUACAGAGGGCUGCAAUACCGUAAGGUGGAGCGAAUCCCAAAAAGCCGGUCUCAGUUCGGAUUGAGGUCUGCAACUCGACCUCAUGAAGUUGGAGUUGCUAGUAAUCGUAGAUCAGCAACGCUACGGUGAAUACGUUCCCGGGGCUUGUACACACCGCCCGUCACGUCACGAAAGUCGGUAACACCCAAAGUCAGUGGCCCAACCGCAAGGGGGGAGCUGCCUAAGGUGGGAUCGGUGAUUGGGACGAAGUCGUAACAAGGUAGGCGUACCGGAAGGUGCGGCUGGAUCACCUCCUUU